RNAcentral lists this ribosomal RNA (253 nucleotides) under uncultured Clostridium sp. Its description in RNAcentral is "partial 16S ribosomal RNA". It matches the Rfam family "Bacterial small subunit ribosomal RNA", at positions 524 to 776 of the family's 1533-position model. Lineage: Bacteria; Bacillati; Bacillota; Clostridia; Eubacteriales; Clostridiaceae. The record is from RNAcentral.
UACGUAGGUGGCGAGCGUUGUCCGGAUUUACUGGGCGUAAAGGAUGCGUAGGCGGAUAUUUAAGUGGGAUGUGAAAUACCCGGGCUUAACCUGGGUGCUGCAUUCCAAACUGGAUAUCUAGAGUGCAGGAGAGGAAAGCGGAAUUCCUAGUGUAGCGGUGAAAUGCGUAGAGAUUAGGAAGAACACCAGUGGCGAAGGCGGCUUUCUGGACUGUAACUGACGCUGAGGCAUGAAAGCGUGGGGAGCAAACAGG